This is a long non-coding RNA of Lathyrus oleraceus (garden pea), 1085 nucleotides long. RefSeq lists it as uncharacterized. The record is from RefSeq and is a predicted model, not a curated record. Lineage: Eukaryota; Viridiplantae; Streptophyta; Magnoliopsida; Fabales; Fabaceae. The transcript is spliced from 2 exons.
UCAAGUCCUAACUAUAGGGUGCACUUAUCACUCAAUGUGAGCAAAUAAGUAUUUCUCAAUAAGUACUUUUUGCUUCUGAGUCACAAAAGUUCUUGACAUGCUUCACUCGAUUCCUUCACUCCCACUCACAGAAACCCCACAAUAUCAGGGAUUGAGGGAAAAGGUCUCUAACAACCCAUUUUCAUCCUUAUCCAUAUUAAAUUCAAACACUUUAAACAAAAAUAUCUUCCUAUAAUCUUUCUCUCACACAUAUCAAUUGUGAUAUGAUUAAUUUUUUAUAUGCACUCACACACAAUAAAACACUACUGAGAAGCCAAAAACAACAAGUAAAAUCCCUAAACCAAUUUCACUUAGAGCUCUUUCUUUUUUGUUGUUUACAGUUUCAUAUCAGAAGCUCUAAAUCCAACCUGAGCUAGACCCAAUCACAUAGAGGCAUACAACCACAACCCAGAAGUAAAAAUCACAUUCAAAGGAAAAAAGAAUGGAAAAGGUUUGCAAACUAAAAGAGCAGACGGGGAAGAAAUAAGAAGAUACGUUAGGAAUAUGUUUACUUCAGGAACACCCGGAUCGGAUGAACAUUGAUGUCGUGUUAAUCUGCGUCACCUUGAAAUAUCUUGAGUGUCGUCGUUGGCUUCAUCGGCACCAUCGACUUUGAUUCAACUUGGUCGGGUUUUAUGGGCUCGGGUUGUGUUGGUUCUUGGAGAGUGAGAAAGAGAAUUGGGAGAAGAGAAAGAAACUCAUGCAUGAAAUGAGCCCUCUCUCUGAGUUCACAUGCUUUAUUCACGAGUAAUUUCCUGCCCUGCCCCACAUUUGAAAAAAUUGUCCCAAUAUAUCCCAUUUUGAAAAAAAAUUCCCAGUCUACCCCCUUUUUAGUGGGGCCUCGCCAUUCCAUUUGACGAGGGACUGAAGAAUUUUUUCUUGCUUGUAAGCUCGUCACUUGAAGUGACGAGGCAUUAAAGCAAUUCGUUUUUUUUUUUAAUAUAGUUUCAAAAUAAAUUUGUAUUUUAGUUUCCAAUAUAGUUUUAGUUUUUAUCUUCUGAGUGUACCCCUAAUCAAUAUUUUUAAUUAUUAUUUCUCUCACCUUA